Myotis davidii is the source of this 75-nucleotide non-coding RNA. The record is from Rfam. Lineage: Eukaryota; Metazoa; Chordata; Mammalia; Chiroptera; Vespertilionidae.
GGCAGUUCUGGGGUGAGGCACCCUGGAAUUGGGAUCCCUCCUCUCUAGUUCCAGGUGUGUCACUCUAGAACAGGG